This is a non-coding RNA of Schistocerca serialis cubense, 74 nucleotides long. The record is from the annotation of a RefSeq genome assembly. Lineage: Eukaryota; Metazoa; Arthropoda; Insecta; Orthoptera; Acrididae.
GUCUGGGUAGCGCAGUGGUUAACGCAACUGCCUAGCAAGCAGGAGAUCCUGGGUUCGAAACCCGGCCCCGCACA